This 1801-nucleotide long non-coding RNA is filed under the name Haliotis rubra (blacklip abalone). Its description in RNAcentral is "uncharacterized LOC124291257". The record is from RNAcentral. Lineage: Eukaryota; Metazoa; Mollusca; Gastropoda; Lepetellida; Haliotidae.
UUGCUGGAAUAUUGCUAAAAGCUGCGUAAAACUAAACUCACUCACUCACUGUGUGUUUCAUUUGGAUAUUUUUAACCAACCUGUGUGACACAAGUCCGCUGUGUUAUCGCUGCGUCGAUAGCAGGGUGUGGUGAUUAUGUAGUUAGUAAUGCUCAUUAGCUGUGCAUUUCAUUCCAUCAUGUUUGAUGCACACAACAUGGCCGCUGUCGUCUUCAAAGAGGUCCCAUGUAGCCCGCAGGUCUGGCUGGAGAGGGACACUUGUGAUGAGCGUUUGUUCUGUAUCUGACAAGCUGACAAAAUUCCAAUCAUGUUACUCUUUCAUCUUGAAAUUACACAGCCGUUCGAAACAAUCUAAUGACAUCGUCAUUUUCUGGCAAUAGAACAUAGUUAGAUCUCGUCCCGAGAAAAGUAAUGGUGUCAGUGACAAGGCGUGCGUCUUUUGAAAAGUUCUCCACAUUUUAUCGGUUAUUAGUUUCAUCAGCUAAGAAAGUGACAGGGUCAUGUUAAAACCAGAAAUCACAAACUAAUUGAGGAAUUGUAGAACUAAGUGCAUUGUUCGUGAAGUACUCUCCUCCCAGCGUCCAAAGUAAUAUAAUAUAAUUCAGUGACACAAUUAACAGACUUAGCAAAUAUUUAUUGAAUGGCAUGAUUGUUGAAGGACAUGCAACUACAAAUUUUAAAUAUUGAUUGUGGAGGUUGGAAAUCAGUGGUUGUAGUGUGCUUUAGCUUCGCGUGCUAUGCAUCUUUUUGACUCCCACUUUUAACUCGGCUUUUUCAAAUCCAUUCCCAGUUCGUUUUUAUGAGAGAUUUUAUCAGUUAGAACUUUGUAUCUUUGCCGAACACAAUCACGAAGUCAGAUCGAAAACGACCACGUCGGAACGUUGUGUUCAGUCAAUCUGACCUGUUGCUAUUCGUAUCGCCAUCUCUGCUACAUCCCUGAGAUUACUUGGCUGAUGAAUGCAACGAACAUUAAAUAGGAAAAGAGCGGUACUUGGCAUAUAAAUGAAGCUGUAAGCGUCCUUGGUGACUAAAGGUUUCCAUGCUAACACCCUCUUGAUCGAAUACAGCUCAAUAUCACCCGACCUUUGCGACAAAUAAUCGUCUGCGUGUGGAUGCUUCUUACCGGAACGAUCGAAAACCGGUUGCAUAAAAUGGUGUAAUUCUCGAUAAUCUAGUCAAGGAGAUUUGUUUGAAUUCAGCUGUAUUGCUAAUAAGGAAUUGUGUAUUCUGUGCGGUAUUCUCUUGAUACUGUGGUUAAUUGAACAUCUUCAACCAGCAAGCAGAGCGAGAAACCAGUCCGACGAACCGUACCCAGAACACCACAGCUAUGAGAAUUGUAUGAGUGAGACUUUCUCAAACUAGCGGCUGAAAGGCUUGGCUACAUGGAUGUCGUAAAGCUGUUGCCGACUAUGACUACCUCGAACAAUAUAUUUAUCAAAAGGAAAGCAUGACGAUACAUUUAUGACAAGUAUUUGAAACAAAAGUACACAAGGCAUCACGAUGAACAAAAGCAAGACCCUCGGUGAAGGUGCUGUGAUGCGGCAACUAGAGAGCUUUAUCAAAGUCCCCGAUGUGUGCUUGCAGCUCUUUACUUUACAUACUAUGUUCCGCUCUAGAGCAGACGACACCUGCAAUGUUUUAACAGCAGUGUGACAGCUACCAUGAACUUGACAUGUGUGCAUGGGUGCCUUCACAAUCGAUUCCAAUAUCUGGUUGCCAACGACAACGAUGUGCUUCACCAUGUCCCAGAAGCAAUUGUUGAACUGUCAUUAUCAGAAGGACAAUAAAAAUCUCAAAAGCA